AUGUCUGUUUGGAGAUAUAAAAAGUCUGGCCUGCCCACUGAUAAAUUUUGAAGGGCCGCGGUAAUUUGACCGUGCAAAGGUAGCAUAAUCGUUAGUUUUUUAAUUGGAAUCUUGUAUGAAUGGUUGAACAAAAGAAUAUCUGUCUCUAUAUUUUUUUUGAAUUUAACUUUUAAGUGAAAAGGCUUAAAUAUUUUAAAAAGACGAUAAGACCCUAUAAAGCUUAAUAAAUUUUUUUAUUUAAUUAAAUUUUUAUAUAAAAAUUAAGUAAUUGAGAUUUAUUUUGUUGGGGCGACAAUAAUAUAAUGUUUAUUAACUGUUUAUACAUAAGACAAAAUAAUAGGUGAUUAAGAUUGUAAAUGAUCCUUCAUAAAGAUUAAAAGUUUAAGUUACUUUAGGGAUAACAGCGUUAUUUUUUUUGAGAGUUCAUAUCGAAAGAAAAGUUUGCGACCUCGAUGUUGAAUUAAAAUUUCUUUAUAAUUGUAGCAGUUAUAAGAGAAGGUCUGUUCGACCUUUAAAUUUUUACAUGAUUUGAGUUCAAACCGGCGUGAGCCAGGUU
This 556-nucleotide ribosomal RNA is filed under the name Minuca rapax. RNAcentral describes it as "partial 16S ribosomal RNA". It matches the Rfam family "Bacterial large subunit ribosomal RNA", at positions 1827 to 2632 of the family's 2925-position model. Lineage: Eukaryota; Metazoa; Arthropoda; Malacostraca; Decapoda; Ocypodidae. The record is from RNAcentral.